UUUGGAGCCAAAUAUAAAACAACAACAACACAUGACAUCACAUAAGCAAGGCAGAAAAAUGAUCACAGAAAUCUUCUUGGAGCAUACCAAUAAUCACUACUAAUACGAAGCUGAACGAUGACAGAAGCCGAGAUGAACGAGAAAGCGAAGACGAUCCAAUUUAUUUGAGGUGAGAUAAGAGCUCCAAGACACGAUCCAGACCAGGAACCAGGUGCCAACGCCACUCAAGAACAAGCUUCAACUAUAGGAAGCCACGAGAAAACGUAUCAAACACCUCGAGAAGCUGACGAAGACUACGGUAGACAAUCAACUACUCAGAGACCGAAUGUAAUUGAGAUAUAGCUCCACAGUCUCUUACCAAGAAACCCGGAGAACCCGUCAGUUAAAAACCAAGAGACAGCGUAACUUCUCCCCACCAAAGCUUCGCACAGAGCUAAUUCAACACUGACAACAAAGGUCGAGCAACUAGACCUUAAUUACCGAAAGAGCACGAUAAGCGACUUGUCACCAAAGAGGACAAAAGAAAAGGCUAAAGACCAAGGUCAGGAGACCCGACCAGAGAAUCCUAAACAGCCACCAAUAAACCACCACAGCUUCAAGACCACACACGCUCCAAAAGAUCAAGGAUGUCUGAGUCACAUUUCAAUCAUACAACAAGCCUAUGCAAGGAUAAAGAUAAGAAAACAAAAGCACACAAUCACCGGAGACUUUCCUAAAACCGCCUCACCAACCUCGAUGGAAGAAGUAACAACCCACAUCAGAGCCGGUAUAAACUUGCCACCGCGCACCAGAAAACAUAUAUCGAGAUUAGAAAGGCAUCCCAAGCAAACCGAGACGGUGAUGAAGCAACCAGCCUUCGUAUCCAAGAGAACCCAAGCUGACAAAUUCACAGAUCCAACAAAACAUCCGCAAGACAAGGGAGAAGUGGCGAUAAGAACCGGAUUGUGCCCCUUGCUCCCAUAAGAACGACAGAGUUACCAACACACGGUCUCACACACAGACUCCACUAGGGUUUGGGCCUCACCUAAAGGAGAAAAUUGGGGAACCAAACCCUAAGCCAACUAAAUCCGACCUCCCCCACAGACCCUCCGAAGCUCCUAAUGACUCGUCUUCACUCCAGAUUGAAAGAGAGAAGCGUCAAAUUCGAGAUCUGCAAACCAGAUUGAUAAGCUUGCAGUUCCAUUGGCCUUUGCUCAGAAGAGAACAAGAUCGAAGCGUGAGAAGAUAAGUGGCUAAAUGAAGAAGAUGAAGAAGGAGGAAGAGACUCUAAGUGAGAGAGAGCCUCUUGGUUAUUAGUUCAUAAAGUGAUGUCGUUUCAUUAAAGUAAUACUCUGUCGUUUUACUACUUGUUGGCUACUUAAGGGAAUUCAUUCCCGAGUAUGGUUAUCAAAUAAUUAAUCAAACAACUCUUAUCCUCUUAUCCCCUUCUCUCUAUUCUCUCCCCCUUUUCUGUCAUUUCAGAUAAACCCUAAUCAGGGCUUAUCAUUGGUAUCAGAGCUCCAAUCUGUGAUGAAUGAGAUGCUUAGGUUGAGACAGUCGGGAUCGAUCUCAGAGUACCGAGAGCAAUUUGAAGAGUUGUCUGCUGAAGUGCCCCAUGUUCCUAACGACGUGCUGGGGGAGAUAUUUUUGCACGUGAUGAAGAGAAGUUUGCGAGAGCAGGUGGUGAGGUUGAGACCCGCAGGGAUGGACGAGAUAGUAGACAUGGCCACGAUCAUUGAGGAGCAGGAGAACGAGAGACACUCAUAUCAUUCGAGGCCUUUUCAGAGGACUAGCUCAGCGCUGGCUCUUAACUCGAAUCAAAGAAGUAAUAACUUCAGCCCGGUCAAGCAUGGAGACCACACUCCAGCAAGAAAGUCUGUGGACGCUGCUCGUGAUAAUAGGAAUUCCUCGCAACGCAGACCAAUACAGAACCCUUGCAGGCAUUGUGAGGAGCGCUACUUCGCGGGUCACCGUUGCAAGGCGUUUCAGAGGUUCAAAUGCCUAGAGGUAGAAGAGGAGUCUAUAGAAACAGAGAACUCUGGGGAGGACAGAGAGGAAGAGUCUGAGCCACAGGCAAAACAAGAGCUUCAGGUUCUCUCGCUUCAGUCAAUGACGGGCCUUACUUCUAAGAGGACCAUGAGAAUUAAAGGGCAUGUUGGAGGAGAAGAAGUGGUGGUUCUGAUUGAUUCAGGAGCAUCCUGUAGUUUCAUCGCUACUCGACUAGUGGAGAAGUUGGGUUUAGCCGUCGUUCCUACUCAGGAGUUUGGUGUGGCAAUCGGAGAUGGUAGGAUCAUGAAGAGCAGUGGCAAGUGCGAAGAUCUGAAGCUGGUCAUCCAGGGUAUUGAGAUACAAGGAGACUUCAUGCUGUUUGAUUUGGGAGCUACUGAUAUGGUACUAGGGUAUACAUGGCUGGCGUCGUUGGGAGAGACAAGAAUCAAUUGGGGGUUGCAUAUCAUGCAUUUCCAGAUUGAUAAGGAGUGAGUGACUAUCACGGGUGAUCCAGCUUUACUGCGGGCUCAGGUGUCAUUGAGUACGAUGGAGAAGUUGUGUGAGAGUGAAGAUGCCGUGUAUCUCCUGGAGUUGCAGACCUUGUUUGACAAUUCAAAGGAACAACAACACGAAGUGAGGCUGAGCUCAGAGGUAAAGGGGUUACUCCAAGAGUUUAAGGAGGUGUUUAACAUGCCAUCUGGUCUUCCACCAAGACGAUCUCGAGAGCAUGCUAUCACACUUCAGACCGGAACCUCUCCGAUCAACAUUAGACCAUACCGCUACUCACACCUACAGAAGAAUGAGAUAGAGAAGCUGGUGCAGGAGAUGUUACAGGCAGGGAUCAUUAAGCCGAGCAUCAGCCCGUUCGAGAGAUAUGUUGUGUUUAGUUCACAAGAAUGGAAAAAGAAGAAGGGUAAAUCGAUUUUGGGAGCAUUAAGAGCUUCAAAUUGGUUGUUCAUGGUGGUUGUGGUAUUGAUGACAAUGGCAAUCUUGUAAUUACUUGAAGAUGAUGAGGGUGAGAGAGUAAAAAUGUCAUUUUCGAAAAAAAAAGAAAAAAAAAAUUGAUGGCAUUUUCGUAAAUUAUAUGAACUUGUGGGGUGAAUAGGGCAAAACCAAUUUAAAAAAAAAAAAGAUGUUAGUUUUGUGUUUGACUUUAAGUUAUAGGUCAAUUCUGCAAAAAGUCCAAAAUUGUUAUCAAAUCUUUAUAAUUCGUAGUCAUUAAUUGUAAUAUAUAUGUUAAUCAUAUUAGGUAAUUCCGUAGUUUUUAUUUAAGGAAAUAAUACACAUUUCUUAUACUUUGGGUUAUAUAAUGUUGUUAGAAUAUUUUAAACUAUAUUUUAUAUUAGAUGCUCUAGAAUUCUUUGAAAUAGAAUUUAGAAAACAUUUAGAAGUGCUACCUAGCUAGGAUUGAAGUUUUUUUUAAUUAAUACAAAAUUAAGGUUCUAAUUUUUUAAAUGCUUCUCAAUUAAUAUAUAGGAGAUUCAACCAUUUAAUAGUAAGUUCCAUCAGUACUAAUUACAAGUUAUAACCUGCACUUUCAUUUUAUUUUAUUUUUUUUCCUUUUAUUAAAGGAUAUAUUAUCUCUUUUUGUCAGCGAAAGAUAGUAUUAUCUCACUAAAAGAAACGCUAAAAUUAUAUUAGUGUCAAAUGGCACCGCUCAAUAAAAGAAAGAACGUCGAUUUAAAGACAUUGUUUUUGUUGUUGUCAUCUGUUAAGUUAAUAAGUUAAUAAGCUUUUAAACGUUUGAUACAAGACAAUUCCAGAGCCCUAAGGCGACAAGGUAAACAUAAUUUUUUUGGAGCCAAAUAUAAAACAACAACAACACAUGACAUCACAUAAGCAAGGCAGAAAAAUGAUCACAGAAAUCUUCUUGGAGCAUACCAAUAAUCACUACUAAUACGAAGCUGAACGAUGACAGAAGCCGAGAUGAACGAGAAAGCGAAGACGAUCCAAUUUAUUUGAGGUGAGAUAAGAGCUCCAAGACACGAUCCAGACCAGGAACCAGGUGCCAACGCCACUCAAGAACAAGCUUCAACUAUAGGAAGCCACGAGAAAACGUAUCAAACACCUCGAGAAGCUGACGAAGACUACGGUAGACAAUCAACUACUCAGAGACCGAAUGUAAUUGAGAUAUAGCUCCACAGUCUCUUACCAAGAAACCCGGAGAACCCGUCAGUUAAAAACCAAGAGACAGCGUAACUUCUCCCCACCAAAGCUUCGCACAGAGCUAAUUCAACACUGACAACAAAGGUCGAGCAACUAGACCUUAAUUACCGAAAGAGCACGAUAAGCGACUUGUCACCAAAGAGGACAAAAGAAAAGGCUAAAGACCAAGGUCAGGAGACCCGACCAGAGAAUCCUAAACAGCCACCAAUAAACCACCACAGCUUCAAGACCACACACGCUCCAAAAGAUCAAGGAUGUCUGAGUCACAUUUCAAUCAUACAACAAGCCUAUGCAAGGAUAAAGAUAAGAAAACAAAAGCACACAAUCACCGGAGACUUUCCUAAAACCGCCUCACCAACCUCGAUGGAAGAAGUAACAACCCACAUCAGAGCCGGUAUAAACUUGCCACCGCGCACCAGAAAACAUAUAUCGAGAUUAGAAAGGCAUCCCAAGCAAACCGAGACGGUGAUGAAGCAACCAGCCUUCGUAUCCAAGAGAACCCAAGCUGACAAAUUCACAGAUCCAACAAAACAUCCGCAAGACAAGGGAGAAGUGGCGAUAAGAACCGGAUUGUGCCCCUUGCUCCCAUAAGAACGACAGAGUUACCAACACACGGUCUCACACACAGACUCCACUAGGGUUUGGGCCUCACCUAAAGGAGAAAAUUGGGGAACCAAACCCUAAGCCAACUAAAUCCGACCUCCCCCACAGACCCUCCGAAGCUCCUAAUGACUCGUCUUCACUCCAGAUUGAAAGAGAGAAGCGUCAAAUUCGAGAUCUGCAAACCAGAU
This 4925-nucleotide long non-coding RNA is filed under the name Brassica napus (rape). Its description in RNAcentral is "long non-coding RNA (BNAP_LNC012240)". The record is from RNAcentral. Lineage: Eukaryota; Viridiplantae; Streptophyta; Magnoliopsida; Brassicales; Brassicaceae.